AGGGAAAUAGCUCAGUGGUAGAGCGUGUGCUUAGCACGCACAAGAUCCUGGUGUUCAACUCCCAGUAACUCCA
RNAcentral lists this transfer RNA (73 nucleotides) under Camelus bactrianus (Bactrian camel). It matches the Rfam family "tRNA". From Rfam's summary of the family: Transfer RNA (tRNA) molecules are approximately 80 nucleotides in length. Their secondary structure includes four short double-helical elements and three loops (D, anti-codon, and T loops). RNAcentral also lists the same sequence under 2 other names. The record is from Rfam by way of RNAcentral. Lineage: Eukaryota; Metazoa; Chordata; Mammalia; Artiodactyla; Camelidae.